AUUGAACGCUGGCGGCAUGCCUUACACAUGCAAGUCGAACGGUAACAGGUCUUCGGAUGCUGACGAGUGGCGAACGGGUGAGUAAUACAUCGGAACGUGCCUAGUAGUGGGGGAUAACUACUCGAAAGAGUGGCUAAUACCGCAUGAGAUCUACGGAUGAAAGCAGGGGAUCGCGAGACCUUGUGCUACUAGAGCGGCCGAUGGCAGAUUAGGUAGUUGGUGGGAUAAAAGCUUACCAAGCCGACGAUCUGUAGCUGGUCUGAGAGGACGAUCAGCCACACUGGGACUGAGACACGGUCCCGACUCCUACGGGAGGCAGCAGUGGGGAAUUUUGGACAAUGGGCGCAAGCCUGAUCCAGCAAUGCCGCGUGCAGGAUGAAGGCCUUCGGGUUGUAAACUGCUUUUGUACGGAACGAAAAGCCCCGGGUUAAUACCCUGGGGUCAUGACGGUACCGUAAGAAUAAGCACCGGCUAACUACGUGCCAGCCGCCGCGGUAA
This 498-nucleotide ribosomal RNA is filed under the name uncultured bacterium. RNAcentral describes it as "partial 16S ribosomal RNA". It matches the Rfam family "Bacterial small subunit ribosomal RNA", at positions 30 to 523 of the family's 1533-position model. The record is from RNAcentral.